GCUGAGUGAAGGGGUAUUUUCAGAGAUCAACUACAGAAUGUGACUUCCUUUUCAACUAACAUACAGGAAUUAUUUUAUAGAACAGCAGCCCUCAUCAAAAGGAAGUCUCUGCUCUUUCUCCUCUCCACUCUUUCUUCUCUGUGUGUUUUGGUUAGUCAACUGCUAGCUACCAGUGACAGUGAUAGAUAAGGACAUACAGCCAGAGGAAACAGUCAUACAACGCCUUAACAAGAUGUCUAGUGGUCCCUUCUCCUGCUUCUCCAAACAGGAAAUAUUCCUUCUCCAACCUCCACUAUGGUUCUUGUUGCAACAGAAUAUUCUGGCCCCACCAGCCCCAGAUGACCAACCUGGACCCCCAACAGGACCAACGAUCUACCCAGGGCCGAGCUCCUGAUGCUGGGUAUACAUGUCUGCAGCAUGGUGGCACCAACCUCUAUGAUACAAUCACUUCCUCAGACAAUAAUGACAGUGAUGCUGGUGCUGCUACUGCUGGAUCAAGUGAUGUGAUGUACGCCCAGAUUCAACUCAAAAAGUUGGGCAAGAAAAAGAAAAGUAAUUCUCAACUGUCACAUAAAUUAAUACAAAAUGUA
This is a non-coding RNA of Salmo salar (Atlantic salmon), 590 nucleotides long. Lineage: Eukaryota; Metazoa; Chordata; Actinopteri; Salmoniformes; Salmonidae. The record is from RefSeq and is a predicted model, not a curated record.